GGUUUUCUGUUCCUGCGUUAGUUUGCUAAGGAUAAUGGCCAUUAUCUUAGCCAUUUGAAAAUAAUGAUUUAACCUCUCUCACCUUCAUUGUCAUUUUAGAAGAAACUACCAUUUGGUGUCCUGCUGAGACAAGAAAAUAUUUUCACAACUCAAGACAAGUUAAAUAUCCACUUAUGGGAACAGUGCUGAAGGCCUGGACUAGGAUGGUAGCAAUGGAGACAGACUAAAGAAAGAGAUGCAAUCAUUCCCUUGCAUAUGGUCCGUAUGAAGACGGGAUCAUUACAGGAAAGGCCUAGUAGAGCUGCCAACUGACUGCAGACACAUGAGUCAAUCCAGCUAAUGCCACAUGGAGCAGAGACAAGCCGCCCAGCUGAGCCCAGUCCAGAUGACAGAAUCAUGAGCAAAUAAGGUUGUUGUUCUUUUAAGCCACUAAAUUUUCGGGUGAUUUGUUACACAGUAAUAAAUAACUGAAACAACUAUGUACAGUUUAAUGAUCUGAAAUCAAUCCAUAGUGUUAUGAUAGCCUUUUUAACAAAAUUGAAAUGAUAACUUAUUCAUUUACAAUGCAAAUCAAUUUAAUGGCAAUAGUUACAACUGCCCUGAAAUGAUCUAAAGCCUCAUGAAGUUGAUUUAAUAUCUAGCUACCCAACAUACUUAAUCACAUGUUCACAGUUGAUGAAUAGUGACUGAAUCUCCAUGAGCAAGAUAAUAGUAAAGCUCUUUUUUUCUCUUUCUCUUUUUUUCCAGAUGAAUAAUUUUACAUUUACACUGAUAAAAAGUUAAAGUUGCAGCUCUGUUUUCACACUACCUGAGGGAUCUUUGUAGAUUACAUAAACCCUAAGCCUCCUGUGUAAGUUAAGGAAAAAAAUUCCAAACUCACAGUGUUAUCGAGAGGAUUAAAUAACAUAAUUUAUGCAAAGUCUUAACCAUAGUUGCUAGCAUUUAAACUUUAACUUUUGUCCAUGUCUCUAAUGUAAUUUAAAAUGAUCUUACUCUUUAAGGUUUGAUCUAAUAGAAUAUUUGUCAGACACAAAGACCAAGAUUUGUCCCAGUUGAUGAACCCUGGGUAUAACUCAAUAGCAUAUUGGCAGUUUUUAUUUUCUGUUAAGUCUGGAUCCAUUCAAUUAGUGAUUUAUUUCUUAAUUUGUCAAACAUUACAUUAACAAAGUAACAACUUUUCUAUCCAUAUUAUAUUGUGGUUACAAAAAAUGGAUCAAUUAUAUUUGAAUUAAAAAAUUUAAUUGCCACCAAAGAAGAGAAAAAUAACUAGAGAAAAAUAAAA
RNAcentral lists this long non-coding RNA (1282 nucleotides) under Homo sapiens (human). Its description in RNAcentral is "HSALNT0401052". The record is from RNAcentral. Lineage: Eukaryota; Metazoa; Chordata; Mammalia; Primates; Hominidae.